This 72-nucleotide transfer RNA is filed under the name Mesocricetus auratus (golden hamster). It matches the Rfam family "tRNA". From Rfam's summary of the family: Transfer RNA (tRNA) molecules are approximately 80 nucleotides in length. Their secondary structure includes four short double-helical elements and three loops (D, anti-codon, and T loops). The record is from Rfam by way of RNAcentral. Lineage: Eukaryota; Metazoa; Chordata; Mammalia; Rodentia; Cricetidae.
UGGGAUGUGGCUCAGAUUUAGAGUGUUUGCCUGGCGUGCAUAAGAUCCUGGGUUCAAUUCCCAGUACCACAU